Non-coding RNA from Podarcis lilfordi (Lilford's wall lizard), 76 nucleotides. Lineage: Eukaryota; Metazoa; Chordata; Lepidosauria; Squamata; Lacertidae. The record is from the annotation of a GenBank genome assembly.
GGGGAAAGUCUAUAGCUCAGGGUGGAGCAUCUGCUUUUCAUGCAGAAGGUUCCAGGUUCAAUCCCGAGCAGCUCCG